RNAcentral lists this ribosomal RNA (465 nucleotides) under Vreelandella stevensii. RNAcentral describes it as "partial 16S ribosomal RNA". It matches the Rfam family "Bacterial small subunit ribosomal RNA", at positions 338 to 795 of the family's 1533-position model. Lineage: Bacteria; Pseudomonadati; Pseudomonadota; Gammaproteobacteria; Oceanospirillales; Halomonadaceae. The record is from RNAcentral.
CCUACGGGCGGCAGCAGUGGGGAAUAUUGGACAAUGGGCGAAAGCCUGAUCCAGCCAUGCCGCGUGUGUGAGGAAGGCCUUCGGGUUGUAAAGCACUUUCAGUGGGGAAGAAAGCCUUGGGGCUAAUACCCUCGAGGAAGGACAUCACCCACAGAAGAAGCACCGGCUAACUCCGUGCCAGCAGCCGCGGUAAUACGGAGGGUGCGAGCGUUAAUCGGAAUUACUGGGCGUAAAGCGCGCGUAGGCGGUCUGAUAAGCCGGUUGUGAAAGCCCCGGGCUCAACCUGGGAACGGCAUCCGGAACUGUCAGGCUAGAGUGCAGGAGAGGAAGGUAGAAUUCCCGGUGUAGCGGUGAAAUGCGUAGAGAUCGGGAGGAAUACCAGUGGCGAAGGCGGCCUUCUGGACUGACACUGACGCUGAGGUGCGAAAGCGUGGGUAGCAAACAGGAUUAGAUACCCGAGUAGUC